This 262-nucleotide ribosomal RNA is filed under the name uncultured bacterium. RNAcentral's name for it is "partial 16S ribosomal RNA". It matches the Rfam family "Bacterial small subunit ribosomal RNA", at positions 793 to 1055 of the family's 1533-position model. The record is from RNAcentral.
GUCCACGCCGUAAACGAUGGAUACUAGCUGUUGGGAGCAAUCUCAGUGGCUAAGCGAAAGUGAUAAGUAUCCCACCUGGGGAGUACGUUCGCAAGAAUGAAACUCAAAGGAAUUGACGGGGACCCGCACAAGCGGUGGAGCAUGUGGUUUAAUACGACGCUACGCGUGGAACCUUACCAGGACUUGACAUGCAUUUGAAAUCCUAUCGAAAGUUAGGACCUGUCCUAAAGACACAGAUACACAGGUGUUGCAUGGCUGUCGU